RNAcentral lists this ribosomal RNA (441 nucleotides) under Acanthamoeba jacobsi. RNAcentral describes it as "bacterial SSU rRNA". It matches the Rfam family "Eukaryotic small subunit ribosomal RNA", at positions 779 to 1096 of the family's 1831-position model. Lineage: Eukaryota; Discosea; Longamoebia; Acanthamoebidae. The record is from RNAcentral.
GGCAGACAUUUCUUCUGCCACCGAAUACAUUAGCAUGGGAUAAUGGAAUAGGACCCUGUCCUCCUAUUUUACGUGUUGGUUUUCGAGGACCGGGUAAUGAUUAAUAGGGAUAGUUGGGGGCAUUAAUAUUUAAUUGUCAGAGGUGAAAUUCUUGGAUUUAUGAAAGAUUGACUUCUGCGAAAGCAUCUGCCAAGGAUGUUUUCAUUAAUCAAGAACGAAAGUUAGGGGAUCGAAGACGAUCAGAUACCGUCGUAGUCUUAACCAUAAACGAUGCCGACCAGCGAUUAGGAGACGUUGAAUACAAAACACCACCGUUGGGUCGUGGCGGGCCGUGCCCCGCGGUCCGUCGUGCGCGGCGACGCGUGCGGCGGCCACGGGGACCGCGGUCCGUAUCAGCCACCCGACGGCCCGGUGAAUGACUCCCCUAGCAGCUUGUGAGAA